This 253-nucleotide ribosomal RNA is filed under the name uncultured bacterium. RNAcentral describes it as "partial 16S ribosomal RNA". It matches the Rfam family "Bacterial small subunit ribosomal RNA", at positions 524 to 776 of the family's 1533-position model. The record is from RNAcentral.
UACGUAGGGCGCAAGCGUUAUCCGGAAUUAUUGGGCGUAAAGAGCUCGUAGGCGGUUUGUCGCGUCUGCCGUGAAAACCCGGGGCUCAACUCCGGGCUUGCGGGCGAUACGGGCAGGCUAGAGUUCGGUAGGGGAGACUGGAAUUCCUGGUGUAGCGGUGAAAUGCGCAGAUAUCAGGAGGAACACCAAUGGCGAAGGCAGCUCGCUGGAACGGUACUGACGCUGAGGCGCGAAAGCGUGGGGAGCAAACAGG